AUUCACCAUAGCAUGGUGAUGGAAGAUCCAGAAUGAGUUUUUCAGUUUUAAGUGCAAGCAAUAGGAAAAGCACUGAGAGGGAUGCUCACCUAUUUCAAGACCCAAAAUGCAAGGAAUUGAUACAAAUGAUGACCAUAUGCUGCUAGAAAAUGCAGAAUGAUUAUUCUAGCUUGAAGUGCAAGCAAUAGGAAAAGCACUGAGAGGGAUGCUCACCUAUUUCAAGACCCAAAAUGCAAGGAAUUGAUACAAAUGAUGACCAUAUGCUGCUAGAAAAUGCAGAAUGAUUAUUCUAGCUUGAAGUGCAAGCAAUAGGAAAAGCACUGAGAGGGAUGCUCACCUAUUUCAAGACCCAAAAUGCAAGGAAUUGAUACAAAUGAUGACCAUAUGCUGCUAGAAAAUGCAGAAUGAUUAUUCUAGCUUGAAGUGCAAGCAAUAGGAAAAGCACUGAGAGGAUGCUCACCUAUUUCAAGACCCAAAAUGCAAGGAAUUGAUACAAAUGAUGACCAUAUGCUGCUAGAAAAUGCAGAAUGAUUAUUCUAGCUUGAAGUGCAAGCAAUAGGAAAAGCACUGAGAGGGAUGCUCACCUAUUUCAAGACCCAAAAUGCAAGGAAUUGAUACAAAUGAUGACCAUAUGCUGCUAGAAAAUGCAGAAUGAUUAUUCUAGCUUGAAGUGCAAGCAAUAGGAAAAGCACUGAGAGGGAUGCUCACCUAUUUCAAGACCCAAAAUGCAAGGAAUUGAUACAAA
Non-coding RNA from Penaeus vannamei (Pacific white shrimp), 745 nucleotides. The record is from RefSeq and is a predicted model, not a curated record. Lineage: Eukaryota; Metazoa; Arthropoda; Malacostraca; Decapoda; Penaeidae.